AAAGCUGCUAAUGAAGUGAGAUGGAAGCCACGUGCCUUGCCAGGAGCUUACUAACGUAAUGUGGCACCCGCCAGCCUAUUCUGCAGACAUAAUGGAAGAGAGUGUUUCCACUGCUCAUUCCACAGGCAAGCCACAGAUCCUGGCCACUCCUUGCCUUGGAGGCAGUACAGACACAUUCAUAGGGUUUGGCUCCUUUCCCUUGAGUUCUGCACCUUAAACUAAAGAAGUCAGUCACGCGAGGCUGGCUUGCUGGAACCGGCUAGAAAAUGCAGCCCUGCCUGCCGCAGGGAUCUCCUCCGGUAUGGCCACACAUAUGAGUUCUGGCAAUGCCCAUUAGUGAUAUGGCCGAUAGUUUCUUCUGUCUUGCUUCCAGGAACCUUUUCUUGGUUUGAAGCCACCGAACCAGAAGAGAGAAUUUUUACCACUUUGAGGACUUCUUGUGACGAAUCCAAUGGGAAUUCCAUAAUAUUCAGAAACAAAACAUUUUGAGGGCCAACAAAUUAUUAAGCCCUUUGCUAGGUCUUAGAGAUACAAAGAUAAAGAAGACUGGAGUUUUCUUUUUAUUAUCUACCAGACUGAAGGCCACUGCCUGGGGACUUGAUCUAAGAGAAGAAAUAUCAGGAGACCUGGGUUUGGCUCCUGGCUCUGCCAGGUGAUCAUGGAGCAGUCACGUAUUAUCCCUGAGCUUCCGUUUCCUCAUCUACUUAAUUAGUGAUGGGUCUACAGGGCCUUGCUGGGGUCCACUUCUGACAUUCUGUGUUGCAUGGACCAUGUCAGAGAAGAUGGAGACACCUUCACGGCCUGUUAGUCACAUCUCACCAAAGCUUCUCAAUGGGCUGUCAGACAAGAAAGGAGCCUCCUGUAGCCAUCUUAAUCAGCAUCCCCCAUCUGUGAGGUCAUCGGGAUAUUUCAAACAAUCUUCAGCUCUCAUUAGUUGAGUGCGUUUCACAGGCAAGUCCUUAUCUUUUGUAACUUUUGCUGCCACAUCCUGAGAAAGGCCUCUCUGCAGAAUGACACUUUCCCUAUGGGUCAGCCCGCCAUAAUGAGCCACCAACUGAGGUGCCCUUUGCACUCACUAGCUGUAUAUGUUGAUAUUAACCUUUCGUGUUGCGAGAUGUCGCUUUUACCCUUGGCUUCUGCCAUGUAAGUCUCAUUAUUUCUAAUAGGCUGUGGCAAUUAGGGUCUUGGGGCUGCUGAUCGCAGCCAUGUGGAGCGGGGAAGGGGCACUGGGGAGAGCAGUUGCUUUUUCUUUCAUGAACAAUGUGAUGCAUAGCUCAGCCCAGAUCUGCAAACAGCGAGCUGUAGUAGACCUCCGGCCGAGGAUGGGAAAUUCCACACCCAGCGCUUUCACAUGUCCUUUCUUCACGCCAACUACUGGCUAUUUGCAAAUCCCUUUUGUGUAGAAUGACAUGCUUGGCAGAUAUUUCAGCACAUUGGAUUUGGCCUAAUAAGGAAUUUAUUAAACAAGAUUAUUUGGGGAUAAAAUGGAUACAUUCAAAGACACUCUUUUUUUUUCUUUUAAAGAUAGUUGUCCGGAAAAGGAAGAGGAUGACACUGAUGACCAGCCGUCUUGGGUGGUUCACAGGCUCACUAAGGAGGCAGUGUUGAGCCUGACGGAUCUGUGAAGGCCCCUCCGACUUGUAACUGUAAAAUGAUGACUCUUGAUGGAACUCUACAGUUGUUGACACCUGGUGGGCCACCUACAGCUGAAGGUUCAAAGUGAUAAAACAAACCUGGUACGGAAAUAACUGAUUGUGGAACGCGAAGGACCUGUGAUCAUGCAAAGGUGACAGAGCAGACACUGAUAGUAGAACUGUGGAGAAGUAUCCCUGGAGAUGACCCACAAUCUCAAGAAGGCUGAAGAGGAGAGGAAGAGAAUGGAUAAAUCGAAACAAGUGUUUAGAUGAUCAAGGCCUUAUAAGCCAUAGUAAGUUUAACAGUAAAUAAUACAUAGAGGGAAAUUUCUUCCUCUGAGUCAUAUGUGUUUAUCAGUUUUCUAUAGAUGUUGAUUGCUUUUGCCAUAUAUAAAAUUUUAUGCUUUUAUGAGACUUUUCUUAAAAAUAUCUCUUGGUCG
This 2074-nucleotide long non-coding RNA is filed under the name Homo sapiens (human). Its description in RNAcentral is "HSALNT0301806". Lineage: Eukaryota; Metazoa; Chordata; Mammalia; Primates; Hominidae. The record is from RNAcentral.